Molecule: ribosomal RNA, 1047 nt
Filed under: Arachnia sp.
Lineage: Bacteria; Bacillati; Actinomycetota; Actinomycetes; Propionibacteriales; Propionibacteriaceae
Description: bacterial SSU rRNA
Rfam family: Bacterial small subunit ribosomal RNA
Source: RNAcentral
UGCAGUCGAACGAUGAUGGACCUUCGGGUUUGGAUUAGUGGCGAACGGGUGAGUAACACGUGAGUAACCUGCCCUUCACUGUGGGAUAACCUUCGGAAACGUGGGCUAAUACCGCAUAGGAGCUCCUGCUGCAUGGUGGGGGUUUGAAAGAUUUUUUGGUGGGGGAUGGGCUCGCGGCCUAUCAGCUUGAUGGUGGGGUGAUGGCCUACCAUGGCUUCGACGGGUAGCCGGCCUGAGAGGGCGACCGGCCACACUGGGACUGAGAUACGGCCCAGACUCCUACGGGAGGCAGCAGUGGGGAAUAUUGCACAAUGGGCGGAAGCCUGAUGCAGCAACGCCGCGUGCGGGAUGACGGCCUUCGGGUUGUAAACCGCUUUCACCUGUGACGAAGUUUUUUUGACGGUAGCAGGAGAAGAAGCACCGGCUAACUACGUGCCAGCAGCCGCGGUGAUACGUAGGGUGCGAGCGUUGUCCGGAUUUAUUGGGCGUAAAGAGCUCGUAGGUGGUUUGUUGCGUCGGAAGUGAAAACACGGGGCUUAACUUCGUGCUUGCUUUCGAUACGGGCAGACUUGAGGAAGGUAGGGGAGAACGGAAUUCCUGGUGGAGCGGUGGAAUGCGCAGAUAUCAGGAGGAACACCGGUGGCGAAGGCGGUUCUCUGGACCUUUCCUGACGCUGAGGAGCGAAAGCGUGGGGAGCAAACAGGCUUAGAUACCCUGGUAGUCCACGCCGUAAACGGUGGGCACUAGGUGUGGGGGACUUCCACGUUCUCCGUGCCGUAGCUAACGCAUUAAGUGCCCCGCCUGGGGAGUACGGCCGCAAGGCUAAAACUCAAAGGAAUUGACGGGGGCCCGCACAAGCGGCGGAGCAUGCGGAUUAAUUCGAUGCAACGCGAAGAACCUUACCUGGGUUUGACAUAUGCCGGUAGCAGCCAGAGAUGGUUGUGCCUUUUGGGCCGGUUUACAGGUGGUGCAUGGCUGUCGUCAGCUCGUGUCGUGAGAUGUUGGGUUAAGUCCCGCAACGAGCGCAACCCUUGUCCUAUGUUGCCA